AUGGAGGCCGGCGUGGGAGGGGGCAACUGCGCGGGCCUCGUCGCCGUCGCGGCGGUUUCGGCCGCCGUCACGCUCGCCACCGUGCGCCUCUUCCGCGGCCUCGAGUCGGACUUCAGGAAGAAGAUCCAGCUCCAGGGGCACGGGGCCCAGAUGACCGGCGGCGUGAGGCCGGCGACGGGGAAGAAGAAGGUGCGGUUCGCGGACGACGUGGUGGAGCCGUCGUCCAACAACGACGAGUACCGGAGAAGAAGGCAGCGGUUGGUCGCUGGCCAGACGUCGUAG
Molecule: ribosomal RNA, 282 nt
Filed under: Triticum aestivum (bread wheat)
Lineage: Eukaryota; Viridiplantae; Streptophyta; Magnoliopsida; Poales; Poaceae
Description: partial small subunit ribosomal RNA
Source: RNAcentral